This 465-nucleotide ribosomal RNA is filed under the name Delftia sp. A21. RNAcentral's name for it is "bacterial SSU rRNA". It matches the Rfam family "Bacterial small subunit ribosomal RNA", at positions 8 to 469 of the family's 1533-position model. The record is from RNAcentral. Lineage: Bacteria; Pseudomonadati; Pseudomonadota; Betaproteobacteria; Burkholderiales; Comamonadaceae.
AGAGUUUGAUCCUGGCUCAGAUUGAACGCUGGCGGCAUGCCUUACACAUGCAAGUCGAACGGUAACAGGUCUUUCGGACGCUGACGAGUGGCGAACGGGUGAGUAAUACAUCGGAACGUGCCCAGUCGUGGGGGAUAACUACUCGAAAGAGUAGCUAAUACCGCAUACGAUCUGAGGAUGAAAGCGGGGGACCUUCGGGCCUCGCGCGAUUGGAGCGGCCGAUGGCAGAUUAGGUAGUUGGUGGGAUAAAAGCUUACCAAGCCGACGAUCUGUAGCUGUGUCUGAGAGGACGACCAGCCACGCUGGGACUGAGACACGGCCCAGACUCCUACGGGAGGCAGCAGUGGGGAAUUUUGGACAAUGGGCGAAAGCCUGAUCCAGCAAUGCCGCGUGCAGGAUGAAGGCCUUCGGGUUGUAAACUGCUUUUGUACGGAACGAAAAAGCUCCUUCUAAUACAGGGGGCGC